CCGAACCGACUAAUGUUGAAAAAUUAGCGGAUGACCUGUGGCUGGGGGUGAAAGGCCAAUCAAACCGGGAGAUAGCUGGUUCUCCCCGAAAGCUAUUUAGGUAGCGCCUCGUGAAUUCAUCUCCGGGGGUAGAGCACUGUUUCGGCUAGGGGGCCAUCCCGGCUUACCAACCCGAUGCAAACUGCGAAUACCGGAGAAUGUUAUCACGGGAGACACACGGCGGGUGCUAACGUCCGUCGUGAAGAGGGAAACAACCCAGACCGCCAGCUAAGGUCCCAAAGUCAUGGUUAAGUGGGAAACGAUGUGGGAAGGCCCAGACAGCCAGGAUGUUGGCUUAGAAGCAGCCAUCAUUUAAAGAAAGCGUAAUAGCUCACUGGUCGAGUCGGCCUGCGCGGAAGAUGUAACGGGGCUAAACCAUGCACCGAAGCUGCGGCAGCGACACUGUGUGUUGUUGGGUAGGGGAGCGUUCUGUAAGCCUGUGAAGGUGUGUCGUGAGGCAUGCUGGAGGUAUCAGAAGUGCGAAUGCUGACAUAAGUAACGAUAAAGCGGGUGAAAAGCCCGCUCGCCGGAAGACCAAGGGUUCCUGUCCAACGUUAAUCGGGGCAGGGUGAGUCGACCCCUAAGGCGAGGCCGAAAGGCGUAGUCGAUGGGAAACGGGUUAAUAUUCCCGUACUUGGUGUUACUGCGAAGGGGGGACGGAGAAGGCUAUGUUGGCCGGGCGACGGUUGUCCCGGUUUAAGCGUGUAGGCUGGUUUUCCAGGCAAAUCCGGAAAAUCAAGGCUGAGGCGUGAUGACGAGGCACUACGGUGCUGAAGCAACAAAUGCCCUGCUUCCAGGAAAAGCCUCUAAGCAUCAGGUAACAUCAAAUCGUACCCCAAACCGACACAGGUGGUCAGGUAGAGAAUACCAAGGCGCUUGAGAGAACUCGGGUGAAGGAACUAGGCAAAAUGGUGCCGUAACUUCGGGAGAAGGCACGCUGACACGUAGGUGAAGUGAUUUACUCAUGGAGCUGAAGUCAGUCGAAGAUACCAGCUGGCUGCAACUGUUUAUUAAAAACACAGCACUGUGCAAACACGAAAGUGGACGUAUACGGUGUGACGCCUGCCCGGUGCCGGAAGGUUAAUUGAUGGGGUCAGCGCAAGCGAAGCUCCUGAUCGAAGCCCCGGUAAACGGCGGCCGUAACUAUAACGGUCCUAAGGUAGCGAAAUUCCUUGUCGGGUAAGUUCCGACCUGCACGAAUGGCGUAAUGAUGGCCAGGCUGUCUCCACCCGAGACUCAGUGAAAUUGAACUCGCUGUGAAGAUGCAGUGUACCCGCGGCAAGACGGAAAGACCCCGUGAACCUUUACUAUAGCUUGACACUGAACAUUGAGCCUUGAUGUGUAGGAUAGGUGGGAGGCUUUGAAGUGUGGACGCCAGUCUGCAUGGAGCCGACCUUGAAAUACCACCCUUUAAUGUUUGAUGUUCUAACGUGGACCCGUUACCCGGGUUGCGGACAGUGUCUGGUGGGUAGUUUGACUGGGGCGGUCUCCUCCUAAAGAGUAACGGAGGAGCACGAAGGUUGGCUAAUCCUGGUCGGACAUCAGGAGGUUAGUGCAAUGGCAUAAGCCAGCUUGACUGCGAGCGUGACGGCGCGAGCAGGUGCGAAAGCAGGUCAUAGUGAUCCGGUGGUUCUGAAUGGAAGGGCCAUCGCUCAACGGAUAAAAGGUACUCCGGGGAUAACAGGCUGAUACCGCCCAAGAGUUCAUAUCGACGGCGGUGUUUGGCACCUCGAUGUCGGCUCAUCACAUCCUGGGGCUGAAGUAGGUCCCAAGGGUAUGGCUGUUCGCCAUUUAAAGUGGUACGCGAGCUGGGUUUAGAACGUCGUGAGACAGUUCGGUCCCUAUCUGCCGUGGGCGCUGGAGAACUGAGGGGGGCUGCUCCUAGUACGAGAGGACCGGAGUGGACGCAUCACUGGUGUUCGGGUUGUCAUGCCAAUGGCACUGCCCGGUAGCUAAAUGCGGAAGAGAUAAGUGCUGAAAGCAUCUAAGCACGAAACUUGCCCCGAGAUGAGUUCUCCCUGAGACUUAAAGUCUCCUGAAGGAACGUUGAAGACGACGACGUUGAUAGGCCGGGUGUGUAAGCGCAGCG
RNAcentral lists this ribosomal RNA (2128 nucleotides) under Salmonella enterica subsp. enterica serovar Enteritidis. RNAcentral's name for it is "partial 23S ribosomal RNA". It matches the Rfam family "Bacterial large subunit ribosomal RNA", at positions 774 to 2880 of the family's 2925-position model. Lineage: Bacteria; Pseudomonadati; Pseudomonadota; Gammaproteobacteria; Enterobacterales; Enterobacteriaceae. The record is from RNAcentral.